Molecule: long non-coding RNA, 248 nt
Filed under: Homo sapiens (human)
Lineage: Eukaryota; Metazoa; Chordata; Mammalia; Primates; Hominidae
Description: HSALNT0234694
Source: RNAcentral
UUUGUGAUGAAAAUUUCCCCAAGGGGACCUUCUAGCGCCUAGCACCUUCGAUGCUCCUGUUUCAGUCGCGGUCUCAGCGGGCAGUGGCCUCCUUUGAAGCUGGGAUUCUCCUGCCCCUCCCGGGCAGCGCAGGCCACCGGUGACCCGGGACGGUCUGUAAACGACCUUCGCGUCCCCGUCCCCGUGGAAUAACGCGCGGCGGGCAUCACUGCCCAAUAUCCAGCGCUCGUGAAGGCGGAGACCGGCGG